GACGUGCAAAGGCAGAAGCUUGGAUCGUGACUUUUCUGACGACGUUUGUCAUCGACUUGUUUCUCACGCAACCUUUCAAGCUGUUGGCCGUGGCCGUGAUGUUUGGUUUACUUGCAAAGAAGCCUGUGGAAGACGAGGAUCCUCCACCAGCUUCACUACAAAACGACGAGGAAUAUCUUCAGACAAACCAAGACAGCCCCAACCCUUUGACGACGGCAAAAAGAUGGAAGCUUUAUUUUAACGAGGACGCA
Molecule: long non-coding RNA, 251 nt
Organism: Branchiostoma belcheri (Belcher's lancelet)
Lineage: Eukaryota; Metazoa; Chordata; Leptocardii; Amphioxiformes; Branchiostomatidae
Exons: 3
Source: RefSeq, a predicted model, not a curated record